This 116-nucleotide ribosomal RNA is filed under the name Bombus sp. CH-2014. RNAcentral describes it as "partial 16S ribosomal RNA". The record is from RNAcentral. Lineage: Eukaryota; Metazoa; Arthropoda; Insecta; Hymenoptera; Apidae.
AAGAUUUUAAAAGUCGAACAGACUUAAUUAUUAAACUUCUUCAUUUAAAAUUUAUCUUAAUUCAACAUCGAGGUCGCAAUCAUCUUUAUAAAUUUGAUCUUAAAAAAGAUAUUACG